GAUGAACGCUGGCGGCGUGCCUAAUACAUGCAAGUCGAGCGAACAGACGAGGAGCUUGCUCCUCUGACGUUAGCGGCGGACGGGUGAGUAACACGUGGAUAACCUACCUAUAAGACUGGGAUAACUUCGGGAAACCGGAGCUAAUACCGGAUAAUAUAUUGAACCGCAUGGUUCAAUAGUGAAAGACGGUUUUGCUGUCACUUAUAGAUGGAUCCGCGCCGCAUUAGCUAGUUGGUAAGGUAACGGCUUACCAAGGCAACGAUGCGUAGCCGACCUGAGAGAGUGAUCGGCCACACUGGAACUGAGACACGGUCCAGACUCCUACGGGAGUCAGCAGUAGGGAAUCUUCCGCAAAGGGCGAAAGCCUGACGGAGCAACGCCGCGUGAGUGAUGAAGGUCUUCGGAUCGUAAAACUCUGUUAUGAGGGAAGAACAAAUGUGUAAGUAACUAUGCACGUCUUGACGGUACCUAAUCAGAAAGCCACGGCUAACUACGUG
RNAcentral lists this ribosomal RNA (497 nucleotides) under uncultured bacterium. RNAcentral describes it as "partial 16S ribosomal RNA". It matches the Rfam family "Bacterial small subunit ribosomal RNA", at positions 28 to 507 of the family's 1533-position model. The record is from RNAcentral.